UACCUAGGGUGCAAGCGUUGUCCGGAAUUAUUGGGCGUAAAGAGCUCGUAGGCGGUUUGUCGCGUCUGGUGUGAAAAUCCAGGGCUUAACCCUGGACCUGCAUCGGGUACGGGCAGACUAGAGUGCGGUAGGGGAGAUCGGAAUUCCUGGUGUAGCGGUGAAAUGCGCAGAUAUCAGGAGGAACACCGGUGGCGAAGGCGGAUCUCUGGGCCGUAACUGACGCUGAGGAGCGAAAGCAUGGGGAGCGAACAGG
RNAcentral lists this ribosomal RNA (253 nucleotides) under uncultured bacterium. RNAcentral describes it as "partial 16S ribosomal RNA". It matches the Rfam family "Bacterial small subunit ribosomal RNA", at positions 524 to 776 of the family's 1533-position model. The record is from RNAcentral.